CAAUAUUAAAAUUAAAUUACCCUUAAGCCGAGUCUUAGGCUUAUUCAUGCUAGGUACAUACGCAUCACCUCUUUUUCAAGCAUUAACUAAGCUGAAAUUUAAAAGCUCCUUAUGUGAUAGUGGUCGAAGAUUAAAGAAAACAGUAAUGAAAAAUAAAACCAUUAAUUCUAGCUUGUACCAAGUAUUAAAAAGGAGAACGCACCUUCGCAAUUAACUGCAACCUGCACUGGGACAAUGUUAUUUGCCAACUAUUGUUGAUAACUACAUAUCUCUAAACCCAAACUUAAGGAUCUGUUUGAUUGACGGAAUUGAUUUUUCGGAAAAUCAUUUCUAACUUUUCUAGCGUUUGUUUGGCGGAAAAUAUUUUCCAUUUGGAAAAUGAACUCCAAAACAUGGGUAAAAUCAAAGCCAAUUUUCGGAAAAUGUCUUACCGAUUUCUAAGCCGUAAGACAUUUUCCCUUCUCUUCUAAGCAGUGGUUCUCCCUUCCUCAAAGCCUCCGCCUCUCCUCCUCAUCUCUACCUCGCUAUCUCUGUCUCUCAGCUUCGUCUUCCUUCUUCAUCUUUCUGCUCCAUAGAUCAGUUCCGGUGAGUCACCCAUAUGCUUUAAGUUUUUUUUUUGGCUCAAUUAUUUCUAAAUUUCGCUUUCUGUUCAGUCCGAUAUGAUGAUCAAUUUUCUAAAUUUCUAAAUUGCUAAUGGAUUAAUGAAAUGGGGUUAGGGUCCGUUUGUUAAACCAUGUAUGGAGGAAUUUUAUGAGUUUACAGCUUAAAAUGGGUUAAUGAAAUGGGGUUAUUGAUAUUUUGGUAUUUUCCAAAAAUUGGAAAAAGGAUGAAAACUCAUCCUCUUCUUCCCAACACUACUCGACCCCCACUUCUUCACUAAGGGAAGCUUUCCCUUUUAAUUUUCUUGAAUUAAAAUUGUUUUGAUCUUUUAUUUCUUGAAUAUUAAAAAUUGUUAGCAGCUCAUAUAUAGACUUUUUGCUUGAGAAACAAACCAAUCAAAAAUUUUCUUGAAUUAAAAUUGUUUUGAUCGACAUUCAUGUGGUUUGAGUUUUGUAUUCGUUUAUGAACAAAAGUAGUUAUGUAAUGUAAAAUUUUCUCGAUAAUUUUUAUUUGAGUUCUGAGCCCUAAGCUAAAUUGCUGUAAAUUUCAUCCAAUAACAUAUAAUAUGUAUAUAGAUAGAUAAGAUUGCUUGAUAUUGCAUUACUUUGUGAUUUGCUUUUACUUUGGGGAAAUUACUUAACAGUUAAGUGCAUUGAGCUAGUGUUGCUAGUACCUCUUCUUCAGUAAUGAAUAUUUUGAGUGUCUUUCAGAGAAAUGCUAUAAUGAAUUUGGCUUUGUCAUACAGCAACUAGUUUUUGUAAGUAGUUUAAGUAGGCCACGUUUAAGUUCGAACCAGCGACUUCCCGGAGUUUUGCUGCGAGUAAGAGGCACGUCCAUUUCUUCAAACAGGUUGGUGCUUAAAGCUCUUUGCAUGUUUCAAAUUCAUAGCACUUGUAUUGGUUGUAUUUACUAUGAUUAUUUACCAUGUCAAGCAGAACUAGUAAUUCUGCAAGUUUGAAACUCAUAGGAUUUGCAUUAAUGCACUUCAGGCACUUUUAAUGCUUUUGCUGCACUAGUUGAACUAAAAAUGUAUCCACCAUUCUUGCUUUGACACCAAUUUCAAUUCAACCCGUUUAAAUUCUCGACAACAUAUGAUAUCUAUAAUUUUUUGAACUCUAUUAGAAUCCAAAUCAUGACUUUACUUUUUUGUUCUACUUUUAUUUCAUGGGAUAUGUUGAGUGGUGCAAAAUGAUCAAAAGGGAGGCAACUAUUAGACUAUCAACUUGUGUCAUAAUCUGUAUAGGACCAUUCAGUGUCAUAUAUGGUUGAUUGUGAUCCAUUAUUAUUGUUGCAUCCAUAAAAUUAAAUUCUUUUAGGCAGUUGACUUGUUAUUGGCUGAUUUUAAUUCAUAAGAUCAGUGGUGGGCUUCAUUCAACUUCAUUGUUUAGUUUCCAGCGUUGGUCUUAAUACUCACUGCAUUUGCUUACUUAUGUCCUUGGUAUUUGUUGUGCUUUUUACUUGCAAGUUUAAUACAACGUAACAUAUGUUAACCAAAACAGAGUGUCAAUGGAGAAUUGAUGGUAGAUAUUUGGAAAUGCCAUUAUGUUUGGAGUUUUACCUAUAAUAGAAAAAGGCGGAGCAAGUAAGCUUUUCAAGUGCUUCAAUUUCUUCCAAUGAAUGCUUGAUUUAUGUUUGUGCAUGAACUGAGAUAUUGAGGCAGUAUUGCAACUUGUCAAUAGAUUUGCCUUCUUGAUCUUAUUCAACAUUGAGCCAAUGCAACUUGUCAAGAUUGAAGAUAUUGAUACGUCUUUUAAUGUGGUAUAAUAUUAAUUAUGCACUUGGACAAUGUUGUUAUUGUGUGUUGUACUACUAAUUAUGCAUUUGGAUAAUAUUAUUAAUUUCUAGUAUUAAUUGUGGUUUGGAAGCUAAUUUAUUCAAUCCUUAUUUUUUAUUUUUUUAUAACACAAUUGUAAAUAAUUUAUUUGACUUUGGUUGUUUUCAAUUUAUGACGGUUAAUAUUCUAGCUUAAUAAUUGAGUAUUAUUAUAUAUUUAAUUUGAUUUAUUUAUAAAUAAAUAAAUCAUUGCAAUAUAUGUAAAAAUAAUUUAAAAUAUAAAUUUAUUAAUAUAUAUUAAUAUAUGUAAAAAUAAUUUUUUUGGAAAAUAUUUUCAGGAAAUCUGCCAAACACCAGAAAAUAUUUUCCAGUAAAUCAUUUUACAGAAAAGUAAAACAUUUUCCAAAAAUCAUUUUACGAAAAACAUUUUACUGGCAAACAAACGGACCCUAAAUGUUUCUCUAAACCAAAAUCCUGCAAUAAUACAUCAUGAGGUGUUAAAGACUCAUUCUCUUCCAAAGCUGGUGGACACUGUGGAAAUGGAUUUUAAAAUUCAAAGAAUAAUACAUAAAAGAUAGGGAUUCUCAAGAACCCUUUCAUCAAGGUAGCAGUUAAAGGGAUAUCUCCACCUAAAGAAAUUAGAAAUCACCAGGUAAGCUACUAUAUUAGCACAAUGGCCAAAACAAACAACACAAGGGCGUCAUCCUUCACACACAUAUAAACACUCAAUCUCCCGCGAAGUUUUUUAUGGUGUAUUUGGAGGAGAUUCUCAUGUUAGGGGAAUCGAUGGAUUCAUAUACCAAACCUUUAGUUUUGUUUUCCCUUUUGCUCUUCAUCAAUAUUAAAAAGAAAGAAAUAAAUAGCAAAAUACAAUGAAGAAUCAGACAAGUUGAAGCGGGAAAUCACAAUAAAAACAGUUUCCACAAAUCUGAGCAUGCAUACAGACAGACAUCUCUAUUUAGAUGAUUAAAGUAGACCCUGGGGUCAGUAAAAAGUUCCAACAUUAAUCAGAUAAUAAAAUCAGUUGCAGAUCACAGGUUCUACAACUAGUUCAAAUGAAAGAAGGAACAAAAGGGAUUAAAAAGAAUGUCAAUUUCAUGGAAUAACUAAUUACAAAAAGAUGAACUAAUGGUAUUAUAAAUAUUCUUCUUUUCAUUCUCAUUUGCUUCUUCCUUUUCCAUUCGUUUUCCAACCUGUUAUUUUGGAUUAUUGUGAGUGAAUACUCCCAAUUUUCCAAACAAACAUGCUCCAUUUCUUAAUUUCUUAAGUAUGAAAUAAGAAAAAGUCCUAUAUGAUAAUAAAGGCAUUAGACAUAUUCAUAAGCUGAGCAUAUUACUAACAUAAUAUAUACAGCAGCCUCCCAUAUAAUAACGGUAAUUUGGUGCAUUUUCCCCUAUUAUUCGACAUCAAAAGACAAGUAGAAUAUAAUAGUUUCAAACACAAGGAGAGGGAAAAAGCCAACUUACAAGCCGGGAAAAAACAUGUAACAUACUAGAAAAUAGAUUCAAGCUUUGAGAAGAAUGAACAAACAAAGUAAAUAAAUCCUUACUAAUCAUGCUAAACAUGAAACAUCGCAAUACAAUUCAUUUUAAAAAAUCUGAGAUUAAUUACUAAUUAACUGGAAUACCAACAAACGACGAAACUAUCCAUAUAAUAAUGAAAAUAAAUUGGAAGCCAUACCAAUUUCAUAAACCCUAAUUUCAAAAAUAUGGAAGAGACAAGGGGGAAAGUGACGUGUAACCGAAAGGAAAAAGUUUUAAUCAACAAAAAUAAUGUUAAACGAUUAAGGGAAAAAAAGAAUAGAAUGUUUUACCUUUUGAAGCGGGGUGGAGAGAAACAGGCGAAGAAUUUCCAGCCAAAAAUUAGGCUCAAACUAAACGUUAACUGAUUUUAAUAAUUUGGAGGGAUUGGGGAAGAAAUAAAGGGAUGUGGGAAAUUGGAGAUUUCGAUUAGAAAGGGAUUUGGGAAGUUGGGAAAUUGAGGAAAAGAAAUUGGGGAAGAAUAGUUUAGGGAUUUUGAUCAGAAGUUGGGAAAUUGGGGAAAAGAAAUUGGGGAAAUCUAAUUUGGGGGAAAACCUAAAGGAAUUUCGGGUCUAAU
This 4470-nucleotide long non-coding RNA is filed under the name Gossypium barbadense (sea-island cotton). RNAcentral's name for it is "long non-coding RNA (GBAR_LNC018720)". The record is from RNAcentral. Lineage: Eukaryota; Viridiplantae; Streptophyta; Magnoliopsida; Malvales; Malvaceae.